CUUGUGUUUAGUAAGUAGAAAAGUGAAAUGAACUUUGUAUGCAGUUGUCAAGAUGACACAAAAGUUACUUUCCGUAAAAUUAUUAUGAAUAUUUCAUUCCUGUUGAUUAACUUUCAUAUUGUACAACUGAUAACAAUGCAACUUGCAAACAAUCGUUUUUAAAACAACCAUAUUUCUAGUUGUUACGUCAAUUAGGGGGUCUCCUUAUAAACUGCUACUUUUUUUUGCCCGACAUAAAAUAAAUCUGGGAAAAAUUACGAAUAUAUAGAAAUGAAUUAUCAAUCGAUUUAGAACAUUCCCA
This 301-nucleotide long non-coding RNA is filed under the name Mytilus galloprovincialis (Mediterranean mussel). The record is from RNAcentral. Lineage: Eukaryota; Metazoa; Mollusca; Bivalvia; Mytilida; Mytilidae.